Molecule: ribosomal RNA, 793 nt
Filed under: uncultured archaeon
Lineage: Archaea
Description: bacterial SSU rRNA
Rfam family: Archaeal small subunit ribosomal RNA
Source: RNAcentral
ACUGCUCAGUAACACGUGGAUAACCUGCCCUUGGGUCUGGGAUAACCCCGGGAAACUGGGGAUAAUACCGGAUAACGCAUAUGUGCUGGAAUGCAUCGAGAUUUAAAGCUCCGGCGCCUAAGGAUGGGUCUGCGGCCUAUCAGGUAGUAGUGGGUGUAGCGUACCUACUAGCCUACGACGGGUACGGGUUGUGAGAGCAAGAGCCCGGAGAUGGAUUCUGAGACACGAAUCCAGGCCCUACGGGGUGCAGCAGGCGCGAAAACUUUACAAUGCGGGAAACCGUGAUAAGGGAACUCCGAGUGCCAGGUUACAAAUCUGGCUGUCGAGAUGCCUAAAAAGCAUUUCAUAGCAAGGGCCGGGCAAGACCGGUGCCAGCCGCCGCGGUAACACCGGCGGCUCGAGUGGUAACCGUUAUUAUUGGGUCUAAAGGGUCUGUAGCCGGCCGGAUAAGUCUCUUGAGAAAUCUGGCAGCUUAACUGUCAGGCUUUCAGGAGAUACUGUCUGGCUCGAGGCCGGGAGAGGUGAGAGGUACUUCAGGGGUAGGGGUGAAAUCUUGUAAUCCUUGAAGGACCACCAGUGGCGAAGGCGUCUCACCAGAACGGACCUGACGGCAAGGGACGAAAGCUAGGGGCACGAACCGGAUUAGAUACCCGGGUAGUCCUAGCCGUAAACGAUACUCGCUAGGUGUCGGCCACGGUGCGACCGUUGUCGGUGCCGUAGGGAAGCCGUGGAGCGAGCCACCUGGGAAGUACGGCCGCAAGGCUGAAACUUAAAGGAAUUGGCGGGGGAGCAC